UUGCUUCAGCAGCACGUAUGCUAACAUUGAAAUGAUACAGAAAAGAUCAGCAUGGGCCCUGCACAAGGAUGACACGCAAAUUCAUGAAGCAUUCCAUAUAUUU
Molecule: small nuclear RNA, 103 nt
Organism: Ochotona princeps (American pika)
Lineage: Eukaryota; Metazoa; Chordata; Mammalia; Lagomorpha; Ochotonidae
Source: RefSeq, a predicted model, not a curated record